Molecule: long non-coding RNA, 3048 nt
Organism: Megalobrama amblycephala (Wuchang bream)
Lineage: Eukaryota; Metazoa; Chordata; Actinopteri; Cypriniformes; Xenocyprididae
Exons: 4
Source: RefSeq, a predicted model, not a curated record
UGCUAACAGUUUAUUUUCUUUCUUUCACUGAUCUUUACUUACAAAAGCAUUUCCAGAGUUUUCAUUUAUGCUUCUGAAGUUUUCGUUUACGAUCCCAGAGUUUUCGUUCGUCUUUCUGACACAAAUCUCUCGCGGGGGCGGGGCCAGCAGUGGCGUGUUCUCAUUGGCUUACUGAGUUUUUGAUUGACAGCUUCUUCUUGACCUGGAAGUGAAGACGUCAGCGUUGUGUUUACAAUUACAUGUGUGGAGGUGAUCGUCUGUAAGCGGCUUCUUAUUUCAUUUAAAGCUUUUUUUUAAUUUUAUCUGUAUUUAUCUGCGGCUUCUACUUUGUCACAUCAACUUUUAGGAGCGUGAGAGAUCAAACGCGAGAGAAAAUGAAUGUCUUGAGGUUUAAUUGUACAUUAAAGGUUAUAAUACUGAAAAUAUUGCAUAAUGUCCAAUGUUUUCGGAGAAUAUUUGAUUAUUUCUGAUGAUUCUUCUCUAUUGUUGGGUCUGAUUAGGUUGUGCUGUUACAGUUUAAAGAGAAUAGUACUAGUAUCAUAUACAUGUAUAUAUUCAGCCGUCAAGAAAGUCUCACUCCAACCAGGUAAUCAAGGUUGGCAACCAUGGCCAUCACUCUACCCAUUGUUAGCAUAUGCACAUACACCAUCACAAUUAAUGAUCACUUAAUUCUGAAGGAUUCAAAUAUGAAAAUAACAGUCGUGGCUUGCUGUAAGACGGUACCCAGAUAGCAACAGACUCCGGGGCGGAUCCGCCUUCAAGUCGCCAGCUCCGCUGUACGCUCAGAUUCAAUUCGGCAACGCGCACAGGAUAUGCCCCGCCUCCGCACAGCGCACUGUCAACUCGCGGACUCGUUACCAGAUGCUGGGCGGAUUCACUGACCGGACGCGCCUUUUUUCAACUGUCGUCGUCACUGAAUCCUUCUCCUCACCGUGGAAAAGCUGGAGCCGGCAGGUCGGUGAAGACUAAACACGCUUACAGCUCAUUCAAGUGCCGCCAGUGUGUUUUUGGAGUAUUUCUUCUUUCUAUUUCAUCUUUCAUCUGAGGAAAAUCAUUAUUUCAUAUCAUAGAGAGGAAAUGUCAUUGCUCCCUAUGUAGGCCUCACCGAGCCAUGAGAUUCAAUCAAAAUAUCUUAAUUUGUGUUCUGAAGAUGAACGAAGGCAUCACGGGUGUAGAACGACAUGAGGGUAAGUAAUAAAUGACAUUAUUUUCAUUUUUGGGUGAACUAACCCUUCAACUAUAAGAAAUUGACAAGAUUUUUGUUACAUUUUCUAUUUUAUCCCGUGCAACUGUUGGGCGCCAUGACACAAAAUGUGUCACAAGGAACAUCCUUUCCCGCAUUCAACCACAUGGAGUCCAAGAAGUUCCUCCUGUGUGCUGUGAGAAAGAACCAUGUAUCACGUACCGCCACUGAUGAAGACAUUACAAAACACAAUACGAUGGUUCAGCCUGGCAGCUGAUAGGGGAAGCUCCAGGAACCGUCCCACUGUGAGCACCCAACAGUAGAGUUUCAGAGUAUCAUUGGCUACGUUUACAUGCACCGAUUUUCGUCAAUCUGAAUUAAUUGAAUCUGAUUGCAGAUCUGUUUACAUGUACUAUAAACAUUGUAAUCUGAUUCAAAUAUCCAUUUAUAUUUGUUUUAUAUACAUUCCGAUUAAAACUUUGAUGUCAUAUCAAUCACACUUGCGGUAACCCAGGUUGCGUCAACAGAGUCAGAGAUAUUGUCAAAUGCAGCAAAUCUUGGCAAUAUUAAGAGGAUUUGGUAUUUCCAAUUAAUGUAGGCCUGUUACAUACUUCUAGUCUAUUAUUAUUACUAUUAGGUUAGGCUUCUUUCUUUUAUUAUUAAAUUAAUAUUAUAAUAAAUUUGCCCCACAAUUUCAUAGCGCGUCGCCGCAUAACUGGCGUGCUCUGAGAAUAAUAUAACUUAUAAGAUUAGGCUAUUAGCUAUCUUUGAAAAUGAUUUAAACUUUUUUUAGGUCUGAUACAAUGAAUUAUAGGCCUAUAAUUAAAGUUAUUAAGAAUGUCAAUGAAAAUUAAGCGCAGCUUUACUUCAAGCACUGACUUUAAAAAACAAACCACCUGUUUAACACGAAAUACUAUUAUUCUCAUUUGUUUCACUAGCUUAUAUGUACGGCCACAAGUGAAAUAAUGGAAUAAAUUUAGACAGUUACAUAGGCUACCGUUAUCAGCAUUUUAUGUUGAAAUUUGUCUCUGAGAAUAUGCUUUGUUAAAGCAGCCUCAGACAGCUCAGUCACUUUUUACUUUUUGUGGUGAAUACUGACCGAGUUUGAGACUUUUUCAUCAGCAUAACUCUUGCGCAAAGUUUGGACGUUGCUUCUUAUGUGAUAUCCACUUGCUCCCCGUCUUGUCUUAAAACGGAAGAAUAUUGUGACGAAGUGAUACAUACGCCACUGCCUGUUGACAUACAUCUUUACAACUAAAGACGUGAACGUUAACUUUAAAUGCGUGUCAGCAUUGCACUGUUGUGCCCCAGAGGCUUCUGAAUACUAUUGAGAAAGUAGUCGGAUUCAAUGUUUACAUGGUUAUUUUUUGCUGUUUGAUCGGAUUAGAAAAGGAAUAAACCACCCCUUCCAAUCCGAUCGAAAUUUCAUUCAGAUCGAUUAAGGUGUUUACAUGAACGUUUUUCAAUCCGAUUGAGCCGUCAAUCCGAUUACAAAUGGAUUAUUUGGGUGCAAGUAAACGUAGCCAAUGUUAACUUCAGUGUUUUGAAGUGUUCAUUUAAAAUCGCAACAGUUACAAUAAAAUAAAGAAUGUUCAAGUUUAUUUUUAAAUAAAUGUUUUAAUUGUUUUAAUUUCUAUUCAAAGAAUCUUAAAAAAAAUCCAGUUUCUACAAAAAAAUGAAGCAGUACAACUGUUUACAACAUUAAUAACAAAAAUGUUGCUCGAAUAUUUACUCUUAAGUGUUAUUUUUCAUUAAAUAAAAAAUGUUUUUGGUACAAUUUAUGGUUGCAUUUCAUUUUCUGUAAUUCUAUUCAAUACCUAUUAAUGUACAUAAAUAAUAAAACUAUAAAAAUAGUAAUAGUAAUU